This is a non-coding RNA of Musa acuminata subsp. malaccensis (wild Malaysian banana), 196 nucleotides long. NCBI's taxonomy places the organism in Eukaryota, Viridiplantae, Streptophyta, Magnoliopsida, Zingiberales, Musaceae. The record is from RefSeq and is a predicted model, not a curated record.
AAAAUGGCUGGAAUGACUGAAGUGCACAAUGGGCAUGCCGCAUGCCAUACAUGCACUGCCUACUCAACCAAGAGGUCCUCCCCCACUAGCUCGCCUGCGUGAACCUGUGGACCGUGAAAAGGUGUGUAUGCGCUUUGGAUGCCCUGUAAACAUCAACGUUACAGAAUACUUAAAAUCUUUCAUUUUUUUUGCUUGA